ACGAUGUGGGAAGGCCCAGACAGCCAGGAUGUUGGCUUAGAAGCAGCCAUCAUUUAAAGAAAGCGUAAUAGCUCACUGGUCGAGUCGGCCUGCGCGGAAGAUGUAACGGGGCUAAACCAUGCACCGAAGCUGCGGCAGCGACGCUUAUGCGUUGUUGGGUAGGGAGCGUUCUGUAAGCCUGUGAAGGUGUGCUGUGAGGCAUGCUGGAGGUAUCAGAAGUGCGAAUGCUGACAUAAGUAACGAUAAAGCGGGUGAAAAGCCCGCUCGCCGGAAGACCAAGGGUUCCUGUCCAACGUUAAUCGGGGCAGGGUGAGUCGACCCCUAAGGCGAGGCCGAAAGGCGUAGUCGAUGGGAAACAGGUUAAUAUUCCUGUACUUGGUGUUACUGCGAAGGGGGGACGGAGAAGGCUAUGUUGGCCGGGCGACGGUUGUCCCGGUUUAAGCGUGUAGGCUGGUUUUCCAGGCAAAUCCGGAAAAUCAAGGCUGAGGCGUGAUGACGAGGCACUACGGUGCUGAAGCAACAAAUGCCCUGCUUCCAGGAAAAGCCUCUAAGCAUCAGGUAACAUCAAAUCGUACCCCAAACCGACACAGGUGGUCAGGUAGAGAAUACCAAGGCGCUUGAGAGAACUCGGGUGAAGGAACUAGGCAAAAUGGUGCCGUAACUUCGGGAGAAGGCACGCUGAUAUGUAGGUGAAGUCCCUCGCGGAUGGAGCUGAAAUCAGUCGAAGAUACCAGCUGGCUGCAACUGUUUAUUAAAAACACAGCACUGUGCAAACACGAAAGUGGACGUAUACGGUGUGACGCCUGCCCGGUGCCGGAAGGUUAAUUGAUGGGGUCAGCGCAAGCGAAGCUCUUGAUCGAAGCCCCGGUAAACGGCGGCCGUAACUAUAACGGUCCUAAGGUAGCGAAAUUCCUUGUCGGGUAAGUUCCGACCUGCACGAAUGGCGUAAUGAUGGCCAGGCUGUCUCCACCCGAGACUCAGUGAAAUUGAACUCGCUGUGAAGAUGCAGUGUACCCGCGGCAAGACGGAAAGACCCCGUGAACCUUUACUAUAGCUUGACACUGAACAUUGAGCCUUGAUGUGUAGGAUAGGUGGGAGGCUUAGAAGUGUGGACGCCAGUCUGCAUGGAGCCGACCUUGAAAUACCACCCUUUAAUGUUUGAUGUUCUAACGUUGACCCGUAAUCCGGGUUGCGGACAGUGUCUGGUGGGUAGUUUGACUGGGGCGGUCUCCUCCUAAAGAGUAACGGAGGAGCACGAAGGUUGGCUAAUCCUGGUCGGACAUCAGGAGGUUAGUGCAAUGGCAUAAGCCAGCUUGACUGCGAGCGUGACGGCGCGAGCAGGUGCGAAAGCAGGUCAUAGUGAUCCGGUGGUUCUGAAUGGAAGGGCCAUCGCUCAACGGAUAAAAGGUACUCCGGGGAUAACAGGCUGAUACCGCCCAAGAGUUCAUAUCGACGGCGGUGUUUGGCACCUCGAUGUCGGCUCAUCACAUCCUGGGGCUGAAGUAGGUCCCAAGGGUAUGGCUGUUCGCCAUUUAAAGUGGUACGCGAGCUGGGUUUAGAACGUCGUGAGACAGUUCGGUCCCUAUCUGCCGUGGGCGCUGGAGAACUGAGGGGGGCUGCUCCUAGUACGAGAGGACCGGAGUGGACGCAUCACUGGUGUUCGGGUUGUCAUGCCAAUGGCACUGCCCGGUAGCUAAAUGCGGAAGAGAUAAGUGCUGAAAGCAUCUAAGCACGAAACUUGCCCCGAGAUGAGUUCUCCCUGACUCCUUGAGAGUCCUGAAGGAACGUUGAAGACGACGACGUUGAUAGGCCGGGUGUGUAAGCGCAGCGAUGCGUUGAGCUAACCGGUACUAAUGAACCGUGAGGCUUAACCUU
Molecule: ribosomal RNA, 1875 nt
Filed under: Escherichia coli MP021552.8
Lineage: Bacteria; Pseudomonadati; Pseudomonadota; Gammaproteobacteria; Enterobacterales; Enterobacteriaceae
Description: bacterial LSU rRNA
Rfam family: Bacterial large subunit ribosomal RNA
Source: RNAcentral